This is a long non-coding RNA of Talpa occidentalis (Iberian mole), 406 nucleotides long. RefSeq lists it as uncharacterized. NCBI's taxonomy places the organism in Eukaryota, Metazoa, Chordata, Mammalia, Eulipotyphla, Talpidae. The transcript is spliced from 3 exons. The record is from RefSeq and is a predicted model, not a curated record.
CUUACUCAGAAGGCAAGAAGUCAAAGGACUAGAUCUCUUAAGCUGGAGCUGAACUGCCUUUCACAAGUUGUUCACAAUUGUCCAUAGCAGGAAGAGUACACCUAUGGCCAGUAGGGAAGAAACGAUUCGCCGAAGGACACAAGGCUUGCGAGCGAGGUGAAGUCGGCACUCUCACAGCAUCCAGGCAAAGGUGAAAGAUGUACGAGAUACUAGCCCGGAUCCCCGCCUGCUAGGCAGAGGAAGUAGCCGGCAGGCCAGACGGGCGCGACACCUCCCAGGCCGUCAGAAGAUCCUGGCCCAGAGAAUAGGCUUCCACUCCCUUGUCACCUGCCCGACCCGCUGCCUUUCUGGGGUAAGCUCCUCGCACAAACACCCCUCCCCGUCCCUGCGACCCGGUCUCCACGCC